Molecule: ribosomal RNA, 446 nt
Filed under: uncultured bacterium
Lineage: Bacteria
Description: SSU rRNA
Rfam family: Bacterial small subunit ribosomal RNA
Source: RNAcentral
AGAACGAACGCUGGCGGCAGGCUUAACACAUGCAAGUCGAGCGCUGUAGCAAUACAGAGCGGCGCACGGGUGAGUAACACGUGGGAACAUGCCUUUCGGUUCGGAAUAACUCAGGGAAACUUGUGCUAAUACCGGAUACGCCCUUACGGGGAAAGAUUUAUUGCCGAAAGAGUGGCCCGCGUUGGAUUAGCUAGUUGGCGGGGUAAAAGCCCACCAAGGCGACGAUCCAUAGCUGGUCUGAGAGGACGACCAGCCACACUGGGACUGAGACACGGCCCAGACUCCUACGGGAGGCAGCAGUGGGGAAUCUUGGACAAUGGGGGAAACCCUGAUCCAGCCAUGCCGCGUGAGUGAUGAAGGCCCUAGGGUUGUAAAACUCUUUCGGCGGGGACGAUAAUGACGGUACCCGCAGAAGAAGCUCCGGCUAACUUCGUGACAGCAGCCGC